Molecule: long non-coding RNA, 1654 nt
Filed under: Cucumis sativus (cucumber)
Lineage: Eukaryota; Viridiplantae; Streptophyta; Magnoliopsida; Cucurbitales; Cucurbitaceae
Description: long non-coding RNA (CSAT_LNC000570)
Source: RNAcentral
GAUCACACCUCUAACCAUAAAUUCAACCAUUAAAUUAUUAAGAAAUUACCCCUAGUAUAAAGUUCAAAAAAAAUUUUAAAACAUGCAACUACACCCAAAGUUAUUAAUAUGCAAAAUUAUACGACAUAUUUUACAAGAUUGAUCAGUAAAAAAACGAAAGAUAGAUAUGACAACCAAAAUUAUAGUUGUGUAACAUAAAGAUUAACGAGUGAUUAAACAUGAUAAUAGUUAAUAAAUAUUUACAUUAAAAUUAAAUUAAUCCAACCAUUCUUAGUUAUAGCUUGUAGAACAAAAGUGAAGUUUUAGAUUAUCUACCACACGACAACAUUUGUUAGACAUGAUGUUACUACGUUAUUGAAACACUUUGUAGAAAUUAAGAUAAUUUCUAAUCUAAUUAAUUAUCUUAAUUUUAUUUUAAAACAAAGUUUUAUUUAUUGGGUGUUAAUUUAUUUAAAUCUGAAGUUCAAUUGGAUUUGGUGGAAUUGAAAUUAAUUAAGUACAUAUAUAUGGAUUGUUGGGGUGGGUACCUAAGUUUUGCGGUCUUGUAGUCUUGUAGGUUGUAAUUGUAUAAUACAAUCAUUGUAUUUAUCAAAUAAAAUAAAAUAUUUUAUUUUAUUUGACAAAUAAUUGCAUUAACACACAAAACCAAUAAACCAACAUACAAGGUUAUCUUCUGUAACUUAAAUAUGUAUGUGGAGACGUAGAAGUGAAUCAUGUUUAAGUGAUAGUGUAAAUGGUUUAUAGUAAAUGGAUAAGGUUGGUGAUUGCUUGUUGGCUUUAUGAAAAACAAUAGAAGUAAACAACAAAAACUACAAAGGAACAAAAGUAACCAGAAACGUAGAAAGUAAACAACAACAGUGUAGUUUCAAAUGGGGAUGACCGAAUAUGAAAAACAAUAGAAGUAAACAACAAAAACGAUUACAAAAAAUUAUUCACAUAACAUAAAUAAUCACAAAAAAUUAUUCAGACAGUGCAUAACCCUAAUCCUCAUCAUCGACGAAGACAGAAAUUCGAAAUCCAACCACUUACCUCCAACCCUACCUUGCUCGACCAAUUCAAAUGCAGUGGGUGAUAGUAUUCGUAGUGUUGAAUGUGUCUAAAUCAGAGGAAAAAAAAUAACCGAUCGGCAAAUGGGAGUCCAAGCGACAAGGUCGUGUGGAAGUGGAAAACCGAGUCGGAUUGCAUGUUCACCAAGAAAAGUGGUGAACAUGCAAGCACUUCAGUUUCAGAGGCAAAAUGUAAAACACAGCCGUUCAACGAAACCGACAGAAGACCCAUUUGUUUCAGAGGGAACACUGUGAGCAAAGCCUUCAACGAAAAUUGGGAGGACGAAGAGUGGGAGAGAAAGAAAAUUAGAGGAAGAUAGGUUUUUUACUGAGAAGAAAACGACGGCCAAAGAACAACCGGAAUACGUUGAAGGUGAGUUGAAGAAAAAAGGAAAAAGUUUUUUCGGAAAUUAAAUCGAAAUCAAUGUCGUUACAAGGAAUAUUGAAGAGAGGGUAUGAUUUCAAUUGGAAGGAUUAAAUGACUUUAAGGAUGAAGUAGUGUUCAGAGAUUGAAGACGAGUUGCGAGGGAUGAAGAUGAGUUGAGAGGAAGUAAACCGGGGAGAAUUGCGAAUGGAAGACGAAGAAGUAAAGUGUGAAGACGAGUAAU